Molecule: ribosomal RNA, 795 nt
Filed under: Triticum aestivum (bread wheat)
Lineage: Eukaryota; Viridiplantae; Streptophyta; Magnoliopsida; Poales; Poaceae
Description: partial small subunit ribosomal RNA
Source: RNAcentral
AUGCACUAUGACAAUAACAGAGGUCAAGACAGAGAUGCCCACUUCUACAGAUCAAUUGCCAAAGCUCCUAAAAUAGAAUUCCCUAGAUUUGAUGGUACAAAUCCAAUGGAAUGGCUUCGGAUGACAGAGAAAUUCUUUUCUAUGGUCCAUGUACCAGAAGAAGCAAAAUGGGACUAUGCCCAGAUGUAUCUCACUGGUAGAGCUGAUACUUGGUUAAGAAACUCUGGCAUUCUUCAGGAAAACUUGACAUGGGACCAGUUCUGUGCAGCAGUCCUUAAAUGAUUUUCUAGAGAUAGCUCUUAUGAGAUAGUGGAAAAUUUCAACUCCUUCAAAUAGGGAGAGGAAAGAAUGGCUGCAUACAAAAAAGAGAAUCCUGGUGCUGCUGAAGGAUACUAUGUCAAGUGCUACAUCAAUGGGUUAAGACCUGAAAUCAAACACUACCUCAAGACCUUUAAACCAAUUACACUGUAUGAUGCAGUAGAAAAUGCCAGGGGCAUGGAAAUGGGAGUUUAAGCCCAAGCAAACCAGAAAAGAUAUACACCCAAUAGUGGGUAUGCGAAAACAAACAGCUCUGCUCAUUUCCCCAAUAAAUAUAAGCAAAAUGAGACACCACAGAGGAGGGAAGGAGAGGACAAGACAACUAAACCUGAAUAGAAGUUCAGAGAGCCUGGGACUUGCAGAUAUUGUGGAGGCAAGUGGUUCUUUGGCCACAAAUGUGCACAAUAUAAGACACUUAACCUCAUGGCCACUGAAGAGCAUACUGAAGAGUCACCUGAUGAAAUGUUGCAAGGAUAG